AUUGAACGCUGGCGGCAGGCCUAACACAUGCAAGUCGAGCGGAUGAAGGGAGCUUGCUCCUGGAUUCAGCGGCGGACGGGUGAGUAAUGCCUAGGAAUCUGCCUGGUAGUGGGGGAUAACGUCCGGAAACGGGCGCUAAUACCGCAUACGUCCUGAGGGAGAAAGUGGGGGAUCUUCGGACCUCACGCUAUCAUAUGAGCCUAGGUCGGAUUAGCUAGUUGGUGGGGUAACGGCCUACAAAGGCGACGAGCCGUAACUGGUCUGAGAGGAUGAUCAGUCACACGGGAAGUGAGACACGGUACAGACUCCUACGGGAGGCAGCAGUGGGGAAUAUUGGACGAUGGGCGAAAGCCUGAUCCAGCCAUGCCGCGGGUGUGAAGAAGGUCUUCGGAUUGUAAAGCACUUUAAGUUGGGAGGAAGGGCAGUAAGUUAAUACCUUGCUGUAUUGACGUUACCAACAGAAUAAGCACCGGCUAACUUCGUG
This 484-nucleotide ribosomal RNA is filed under the name uncultured bacterium. RNAcentral's name for it is "partial 16S ribosomal RNA". It matches the Rfam family "Bacterial small subunit ribosomal RNA", at positions 30 to 507 of the family's 1533-position model. The record is from RNAcentral.